Molecule: ribosomal RNA, 465 nt
Filed under: Vreelandella stevensii
Lineage: Bacteria; Pseudomonadati; Pseudomonadota; Gammaproteobacteria; Oceanospirillales; Halomonadaceae
Description: partial 16S ribosomal RNA
Rfam family: Bacterial small subunit ribosomal RNA
Source: RNAcentral
CCUACGGGUGGCAGCAGUGGGUAAUAUUGGACAAUGGGGGCAACCCUGAUCCAGCCAUGCCGCGUGUGUGAAGAAGGCCCUCGGGUUGUAAAGCACUUUCAGUGAGGAAGAACGCCUGGUGGUUAAUACCCAUCAGGAAAGACAUCACUCACAGAAGAAGCACCGGCUAACUCCGUGCCAGCAGCCGCGGUAAUACGGAGGGUGCGAGCGUUAAUCGGAAUUACUGGGCGUAAAGCGCGCGUAGGUGGCUUGAUAAGCCGGUUGUGAAAGCCCCGGGCUCAACCUGGGAACGGCAUCCGGAACUGUCAAGCUAGAGUGCAGGAGAGGAAGGUAGAAUUCCCGGUGUAGCGGUGAAAUGCGUAGAGAUCGGGAGGAAUACCAGUGGCGAAGGCGGCCUUCUGGACUGACACUGACACUGAGGUGCGAAAGCGUGGGUAGCAAACAGGAUUAGAUACCCGAGUAGUC